RNA transcript from Bubalus bubalis (water buffalo), 7305 nucleotides. It is a transcript of the gene named Rho associated coiled-coil containing protein kinase 2, with no coding region annotated. NCBI's taxonomy places the organism in Eukaryota, Metazoa, Chordata, Mammalia, Artiodactyla, Bovidae. The record is from RefSeq and is a predicted model, not a curated record. The transcript is spliced from 36 exons.
UUGUGGGUAGCGGCUGCGCGCGGCCGGAGACGGGCGCCGCGCGGGAGUGUGUGAGGGGCGCGGGCGGCCGCCAGCGGUCAUGGGAGCCAGCUGGCCGCGGCCGUAGUUGUCUGGAACCCGGGCUUCAGCUUCCCGGAGCCCCCAGAGGGCGGGACAGCCGCCGGGGGGCUCGGCGGUGGCGGCGCCACUUCCCCGCUCCCGCCCUCGGAGUCCUGAGGGAGCUCGCGGCGGAGGAGUGGACCGGGCGGCGCGAAUCUGACUGAGGGGCGGGGACGCCGUCUGCUCCGCGCUGCUCCCGGGGCCGGGCGGGCCUCCAACAGCCCCAAGGCCCCGGGGCGCUGAGCUCGAGGCGCGCGGUGGGCCCGGGCGGAGCCCCGGCCGGAGCCGGUGGUUCGAGGGCGGCGGUAGGCCCCGAGGCCGGCAGGGCCGGAGCGCGGGGAGCCGAGUGCGGGCCUGGCGGCGGCAUGAGCCGGCCCCCGCCGACGGGGAAGAUGCCCGGCGCCCCCGAGGCCGUGUCGGGGGAUGGCGCGGGCGCGAGCCGCCAGAGGAAGCUGGAAGCGCUGAUCCGAGACCCGCGUUCGCCCAUCAACGUGGAGAGCUUGCUGGAUGGCUUAAAUUCUUUGGUCCUUGAUUUGGAUUUUCCUGCUUUGAGGAAAAACAAAAAUAUAGAUAAUUUCUUAAAUAGAUAUGAGAAAAUUGUGAAAAAGAUUAGAGGUUUGCAGAUGAAGGCAGAAGACUACGAUGUUGUAAAAGUUAUCGGAAGAGGUGCUUUUGGUGAAGUCCAGUUGGUUCGUCAUAAGGCAUCACAGAAAGUUUAUGCUAUGAAGCUUCUUAGUAAGUUUGAAAUGAUAAAAAGAUCAGAUUCUGCUUUUUUCUGGGAGGAAAGAGAUAUUAUGGCCUUUGCCAACAGUCCCUGGGUGGUUCAGCUCUUUUGUGCCUUUCAAGAUGAUAAGUAUCUGUACAUGGUAAUGGAGUACAUGCCUGGUGGAGACCUUGUAAACCUUAUGAGUAACUAUGAUGUACCUGAAAAAUGGGCCAAAUUUUAUACUGCUGAGGUUGUUCUUGCUUUGGAUGCCAUACACUCCAUGGGUUUAAUUCACAGAGAUGUGAAGCCUGACAACAUGCUCUUGGAUAAACAUGGGCAUCUGAAAUUAGCAGAUUUUGGCACAUGUAUGAAGAUGGAUGAAACAGGCAUGGUGCAUUGUGAUACAGCAGUUGGAACACCCGAUUAUAUAUCACCUGAGGUCCUGAAAUCACAAGGGGGUGAUGGUUACUAUGGGCGAGAAUGUGAUUGGUGGUCCGUGGGUGUUUUCCUUUUUGAAAUGCUGGUGGGGGAUACUCCAUUUUAUGCAGAUUCACUUGUAGGGACAUACAGCAAAAUUAUGGAUCAUAAAAACUCACUAUGUUUCCCUGAAGAUGCAGAAAUUUCUAAACAUGCGAAGAAUCUCAUCUGUGCCUUCUUAACAGAUAGGGAGGUACGCCUUGGAAGAAAUGGGGUAGAAGAAAUCAAACAACAUCCUUUCUUUAAGAAUGAUCAGUGGAAUUGGGAUAACAUAAGAGAGACUGCAGCUCCUGUGGUACCUGAACUCAGCAGUGACAUAGACAGCAGCAAUUUUGAUGACAUUGAAGAUGAUAAAGGAGAUGUAGAAACCUUCCCAAUUCCUAAGGCUUUUGUGGGAAAUCAGCUACCUUUUAUAGGAUUUACCUACUACAGAGAAAAUUUGCUACUAAGUGACUCUCCAUCUUGUAAAGAAAAUGACUCAAUUCAAUUAAGGAAGAAUGAAGAGAGUCAAGAGAUUCAGAAAAAACUGUACACAUUAGAAGAACACCUUAGCACUGAGAUUCAAGCCAAAGAGGAACUAGAACAGAAGUGCAAGUCUGUUAACACUCGCUUAGAGAAAGUGGCAAAGGAGUUAGAAGAAGAGAUUACCUUAAGGAAAAAUGUGGAGUCAACAUUAAGACAAUUAGAAAGAGAAAAAGCACUUCUUCAGCACAAAAAUGCAGAAUAUCAGCGGAAAGCUGAUCAUGAAGCAGACAAGAAGCGAAAUUUGGAGAAUGAUGUUAACAGUUUAAAAGAUCAGCUUGAAGAUUUGAAAAAAAGAAAUCAGAACUCUCAGAUAUCCACUGAGAAAGUGAAUCAACUCCAGAGACAACUGGAUGAAACCAAUGCUUUGCUGCGAACAGAAUCGGAUACUGCAGCCCGGUUAAGGAAAACACAGGCAGAAAGUUCAAAACAGAUUCAGCAGCUGGAAUCUAACAAUAGAGAUCUACAAGACAAAAAUUGCCUGCUGGAGACUGCCAAGUUAAAACUUGAAAAGGAAUUUAUCAAUCUUCAGUCAGUUCUAGAAUCUGAAAGGAGGGACCGAACCCAUGGAUCAGAGAUUAUUAAUGAUUUACAAGGUAGAAUAUCUGGCCUAGAAGAAGAUGUAAAGAAUGGUAAAAUCUUAUUAGCAAAAGUAGAGCUGGAGAAGAGACAACUACAGGAGAGAUUUACUGAUUUGGAAAAGGAAAAGAACAACAUGGAAAUAGAUAUGACAUACCAACUAAAAGUUAUACAGCAAAGUUUAGAACAAGAAGAAACUGAACAUAAGGCUACAAAAGCACGGCUUGCAGAUAAAAACAAGAUUUAUGAAUCCAUUGAAGAAGCUAAAUCAGAAGCCAUGAAAGAAAUGGAGAAAAAGCUCUCGGAGGAAAGAACUUUAAAACAGAAAGUAGAGAACUUGUUGCUGGAGGCUGAGAAAAGAUGCUCCAUACUAGACUGUGACCUCAAACAGUCACAGCAGAAAAUAAAUGAACUCCUCAAACAGAAAGAUGUGCUAAAUGAGGAUGUUAGAAACUUGACAUUAAAAAUAGAACAGGAAACUCAGAAGCGCUGCCUUACACAAAAUGACUUGAAGAUGCAAACACAGCAAGUUAACACACUAAAAAUGUCAGAAAAGCAGUUAAAGCAAGAGAAUAAUCAUCUCCUAGAAAUGAAAAUGAGCUUGGAAAAACAGAAUGCUGAACUUCGAAAAGAACGUCAAGAUGCAGAUGGACAGAUGAAAGAGCUCCAGGAUCAGCUUGAAGCAGAGCAGUAUUUCUCAACCCUCUAUAAAACACAGGUUAGGGAACUUAAGGAAGAAUGUGAAGAAAAGACCAAACUUUGUAAAGAAUUACAGCAGAAGAAGCAGGAAUUACAGGAUGAAAGGGACUCCUUGGCUGCUCAACUGGAGAUUACCUUAACCAAAGCAGAUUCUGAGCAACUGGCUCGUUCAAUUGCUGAGGAACAGUAUUCUGAUUUGGAAAAAGAGAAGAUCAUGAAAGAGCUGGAGAUCAAAGAGAUGAUGGCUCGACACAAACAGGAACUCACCGAAAAAGAUGCUACUAUUGCGUCUCUUGAAGAAACUAAUAGGACACUAACUAGCGAUGUUGCCAAUCUUGCCAAUGAGAAAGAAGAAUUAAAUAACAAACUGAAAGAAGCCCAAGAGCAACUAUCAAGGUUGAAAGAUGAAGAAAUAAGUGCAGCAGCUAUUAAAGCACAAUUUGAGAAGCAGCUAUUAACAGAGAGGACACUCAAAACUCAAGCCGUGAAUAAGUUGGCUGAGAUCAUGAAUCGAAAGGAACCUGUUAAGCGUGGUAAUGACACAGAUGUGCGGAGAAAAGAAAAGGAGAAUAGAAAGCUACAUAUGGAACUUAAAUCUGAGCGCGAAAAACUGACCCAGCAGAUGAUCAAGUAUCAGAAAGAACUGAAUGAAAUGCAGGCUCAAAUAGCUGAAGAGAGUCAGAUUCGAAUUGAACUACAGAUGACACUGGACAGUAAGGACAGUGACAUUGAGCAGCUGCGCUCCCAGCUCCAGGCCUUGCACAUUGGUUUGGAUAGUUCCAGUAUAGGCAGUGGACCAGGGGAUACUGAAGCUGAUGAUGGGUUUCCAGUUCAUAUCACUCAGUCACACACUAUGGAAUCCAUGUCAUUCACCUACCAACGUUCCUCCACUUCUCUCAAUAUUGCCACUAAGCCUUCCAGUUCUCAUAUGCUUCUUGACUCUGAUUCUGACUCAGAAGAAGAAUCUGUUCCUUACUUACCUAUUUCAUCGGAACCUAAUGGUACAGAAUCAAGACUAGAAGGAUGGCUUUCAUUGCCUGUGCGAAACAACACUAAGAAAUUUGGAUGGGUUAAAAAGUAUGUGAUUGUAAGCAGUAAGAAGAUCCUUUUCUAUGACAGUGAACAAGAUAAAGAACAAUCUAAUCCUUACAUGGUUUUAGAUAUAGACAAGUUAUUUCAUGUCCGACCAGUUACACAGACAGAUGUAUAUAGAGCAGAUGCUAAAGAAAUUCCAAGGAUAUUCCAGAUUCUGUAUGCCAACGAAGGAGAAAGUAAGAAGGAACAAGAAUUUCCAGUGGAGCCAGUGGGAGAAAAAUCAAAUUAUAUUUGCCACAAGGGACAUGAAUUUAUUCCUACUCUGUAUCAUUUCCCAACCAACUGUGAGGCGUGUAUGAAGCCAUUGUGGCACAUGUUUAAACCCCCUCCUGCUUUAGAGUGCCGUCGCUGUCAUAUUAAAUGUCAUAAAGAUCACAUGGACAAAAAGGAGGAAAUUAUAGCACCUUGCAAAGUGUAUUAUGAUAUUUCAUCGGCAAAGAAUCUAUUGUUAUUAGCAAAUUCUACAGAAGAGCAGCAAAAGUGGGUUAGCCGGUUAGUGAAAAAAAUACCUAAAAAGCCUCCAGCUCCAGACCCUUUUGCACGGUCGUCUCCUAGAACGUCAAUGAAAAUACAACAAAACCAGUCUAUUCGACGGCCAAGUCGACAACUUGCUCCAAACAAACCAAGUUCUGGCCCUGCCCUUCGAAUCAUUCUUCAUUGAUUUUUUUAAAAUACAUUUUGCAUAGCAACAAUUGCUUGAUUUGGCAUUUAAAGACUGGGAUUGGUCAUUUGAUGAUGUUGAUGGUGGUGAUGAGGAUGACGAUGUUUUUGAUUUCUGAAGAAGUUAAAUGGGCUAACUGCCUUCUAUGAAUGCAGUCAUUAUUCAAGGUGAUCAUAUUCUUCCAGUUGAAACAAGACUGAAAUAUGAUGGCCCAAAAUUUAUUAAAAAGUUAUAUUUUCCUGAGAGACUAAUACACAUAUAUAUUCCCUCUAUUCCUGCAAUAUAAAUUCUAAAUCUUGAAUAGGUUUUCUGGGCUCCUUUGGAGCAACAAGUUGAACCAACAGUGAUUGGUUAAUAGAAUAAGAAUAUCAUGUGCAACUCUUCUAGACUUGUUCCAUAAAGCUCUCCUAGCAUCACUCACACUACAUUGCAUAAAGGAUUUAGAAGAGUUACAGAAAUCAUCUUUUCAGCUUCAACAGAGAGAUUUCACCAGCACAUUUGCCAGAAGAAUCUGGGAAUGGAUUCCACUACAGUGAUAGAGACUGCGUCUUUAAGAAGUGACCAUUGUAGUGUGUGUGUGAACACACACACACACACACACACACACACACACAGUACUGUAAUACUGCAAGAGGGUUUUUUAACUUCCCACUUUAUUUUUUUAUAAACAUUAAUCAGAUAUCAUUACUUACUGCAGUUGUAACUAUGCACUUGUAUAAAGCCAUAAUGUUGGAGUUUAUAUCACUCAUUGUGUGUACCUGCUGGAAGCUGCAUGUUCAUGUUUAAGCAGUUAUUGUAACAAGAAGUUUGAAGUUAAUUAUAUCAGUUUCUUAAUGCUUCGUAAUAGGCAAUUUUACCCAUUUUGAAUGCCUUAAUUUAAUUUUUUUCAAGAUAUCCACCCUUUCCUGUAUUUAAAACAAAAAAAAAGUAUUUGCCAGCUCUUAGGAUGCAAAUUUGCUUUGCAGAAGAAAAUUAGUGCACUAUUUUUACACAUAGUAGUUAUCAUUGUCGGCCUAUUUUGAUUGUAUAACAGAAUUUUGUUUAAGUAUUGGUGAUAGAAACAGUAAUGGGUAGUAUUGGAACUAAUAUAUCUUUUAUGUAUAUCUAUUUCUCAUCCGACCCCUUUUACAGACCUCAGUAUUAGUGUGUGACUAUGAAACAUUUUCUUUGCUUUAAUUUGCUGGCUACCCUAGGUGUGUUUUUAUUUCUGAUAAAGCAUUUGUGACUUUUUAUAUUUUCACAUUCAAGAUUCAAAAAAUUGUCUCAAAUACAAAGAAAACUAAGACAUACUGUAGAUAUAUUUUAAGUAUUUAAGUGUGAUCCCGUAAACACAUGACUGUGUAUGGCAGCAUUUCAUUAUUGUGGCUGGGAAGCAGUGGCCUCAGAGGCACUUAAUUUUUAUUUUUUUAAAUGCUAUUCAAGUUACAUACAGUUUAUGCAGGACUAUUCCUGCUUUAUUUCUCAUUAUCCCAGAAAAGUAUAUGUUUUAUACUGCUACAGUGUACAUCAGUGGUGAGAAUCAAGUAAAGAAAAAUUCUGUGGUCUUCUGUCAUCCUCUCUGUGUAUAUUCAUGUGCACAGAGUUUGGCAUGAUACUGACAUACAUCAUCCAAUAUUUCUAUGAAGGAAGUAGACAUUUUUCAUUGAUUCCUUCUGGGGUCAGUGUUAAAGUGUUUAAAGAGUUAGAUCCCCAAUUAUAGAUACUGUUGUGGAAAUUGAAGAGUGGCCUUUGGCUGCUGAUGUACUGAAACUGAAUCUUGUUCUUACAUUAUCCAGGCUGCACUCUUCCAUGCUGUCUGUGCUAAAACUAGAUAUGCAUGCCAUUUCCCUUGCAGGUAUGUUCUGGUUCGGGGGCACAGCUCUUUUUUUUUUUUUUUUUAAGUAAGAUUAAAAAAUGAAAAAUAUAUAAAAUUUAUAUAGAAUAAAUAUUUCCAUUCAUUAGACUUGUUAAAAGGAGACUGAAUUAAUAUUUUAUAUAGAGAUUUUGUUACACUAUGGGAGGUUCUAUCAUAUUAUUCUGAAUUGGAGAGUAUAUAUAUAUAUUUUUAAUAAACUUUAUUAAGGUGAAAUAAUUUGAAGUUUACACAUGAGUAAUUGAAAUAUUUGAGUAAAAAUGGCAAAAGUUUAAAUUUUGAAUGCUGUAUAUAUAUUAGAGAAUAUGGAGAAUCAUGGUGUGAUGCAACUAUAAAAGGAAAAUUAAUGUGAAGUUUUUUGGGGGGCAAAGAGAUCCUAAGGGGCAAAAAAAAAAAUCUCUCCAUGAAGAUUCUUUACAUUAUAUGGUUUGACAUAAGGAUUUAUAAGGUCAUUUGUCCAGCCAAUGGAAAUGUGCUUAAUAAAAAAUUCUGACCUUGGGUAAGAAUUUUCUUUAUACCCUGUUGCUGGUUUCAUGUACAUACAUGAGUGCAUGCCCCCAUCCAAAUGUUUUCUUCCCAACACUCAUUAAAUAUGACAUUGACUUGGUCUAACAA